RNAcentral lists this ribosomal RNA (480 nucleotides) under uncultured bacterium. Its description in RNAcentral is "partial 16S ribosomal RNA". It matches the Rfam family "Bacterial small subunit ribosomal RNA", at positions 28 to 523 of the family's 1533-position model. The record is from RNAcentral.
GACGAACGCUGGCGGCGUGCUUAACACAUGCAAGUCGAACGAUGAAGUUCCUUCGGGAAUGGAUUAGUGGCGAACGGGUGAGGAACACGUGAGAAACCUGCCUUUCAUUUUGGGAUAACUCCGGGAAACCGGGGCUAAAACCGAAUACUCCGUCUCGGCGGCAUCGCUGAGCCGAGAAAAAAUUUUGAUGAAAGAUGGUCUCGCGGCCUAUCAGCUAGUUGGUGAGGUAAUGGCUCACCAAGGCAACGACGGGUAGCCGGCCUGAGAGAGCGACCGGCCACACUGGGACUGAGACACGGCCCAGACUCCUACGGGAGGCAGCAGUGGGGAAUAUUGGGCAAUGGGCGCAAGCCUGACCCAGCGACGCCGCGUGAGGGAUGAAGGCCUUCGGGUUGUAAACCUCUUUCAGUAGGGAAGAAGCGAAAGUGACGGUACCUAAAGAAGAAGCACCGGCUAACUAUGUGCCAGCCGCCGCGGUAA